AUUGAACGCUGGCGGCAGGCCUAACACAUGCAAGUCGAGCGGAUGAAGGGAGCUUGCUCCUCGAUUCAGCGGCGGACGGGUGAGUAAUGCCUAGGAAUCUGCCUGGUAGUGGGUGAUACCGUCCGGAAACGGGCGCUACUACCGCAUACGUCCUGAUGGAGACAGUCGGUGUUCUUCGGACCUCCCGCUACCAGAUGAGCCUAGGUCGGAUUAGCUAGUUGGUGGGGUAAAGGCCUACCAAGGCGACGAUCCGUAACUGGUCUUAGAGGAGGAUCAGUCACACUGGAACUGAGACACGGGCCAGACUCCUACGGGAGGCACCAGUGGGGAAUAUUGGACAAUGGGCGAAAGCCUGCUCCAGCCAGGCCGCGUGGGUGAAGAAGGUCCUAGGAUUGUAAAGCACGUUAAGUUGGGAGGAAGGGAAGUAAGUUAACAGCUUGCUGUCGUGAUGUUACCAACAGAAUAAGCACCGGCUAAAUUCGUG
RNAcentral lists this ribosomal RNA (484 nucleotides) under uncultured bacterium. RNAcentral describes it as "partial 16S ribosomal RNA". It matches the Rfam family "Bacterial small subunit ribosomal RNA", at positions 30 to 507 of the family's 1533-position model. The record is from RNAcentral.